GUCUCUCUCCCUCUCGACCCUCUUCUCCGAUUACCGCCACCGCUAGCCACCGUAGGAAACUGCUCCUCUGCCGCUAUUUUUGCACCGAUCAGCCUCUGAUGAGACCUUUCAACCUGCCACCGGUGAAGCAACAACUUCCAACAGCGUCGAAAAGUUGCUUUCAUUGCCGAUAGCCACUAUCAUCGCCACACCGGUGCCGUUCGGGCGAGAUUACGACGAGAUUUUUCGGCAAACUCCGACGCCGACCAAUUUUAAUUUUUCAGAUUCGACUUGAUCUACAACCCUCUUGCAACCUUUCGUUAAAGGAAGUGUUCUCUAUGUGAUUUUUGACGAAAAACUCGAUUCUCAACAAAAAGACGAAAUGGUUAAAAGCACGCAACGAAAGUACUUCUGAUGAUCGCGGAAAGGCGAAGGCAUGAUCAUACCGUUCCUCACAUUUUAUGAUUUUAUGAUUUGACUCUGGGGUACUCCGACAAUAUACUAUUUUGAAAACAAGUUUUGUAAUAAUCGUGUGCUUUGAAAUGUUUUAAAAAGUUUAAAUUUGGCAUGAUUUUUAUGGGUGUUACAAUUUAUUUCAGAAAUAUCACAAAAUGACAAGUGUCAAAACUCAUAAGAAAUUGACAUAUAACAGAAUUGAUCUUGAUUUAUUAGAGUAGAUAAAUAUUAUUUUGAA
Lactuca sativa (garden lettuce) is the source of this 673-nucleotide non-coding RNA. The record is from RefSeq and is a predicted model, not a curated record. Lineage: Eukaryota; Viridiplantae; Streptophyta; Magnoliopsida; Asterales; Asteraceae.